Molecule: unclassified non-coding RNA, 34 nt
Filed under: Mus musculus (house mouse)
Lineage: Eukaryota; Metazoa; Chordata; Mammalia; Rodentia; Muridae
Description: immunoglobulin kappa light chain
Source: RNAcentral
GACGUUCGGUGGAGGCACCAAGCUGGAAAUCAAA